Sceloporus undulatus (fence lizard) is the source of this 982-nucleotide long non-coding RNA. RefSeq lists it as uncharacterized. The record is from RefSeq and is a predicted model, not a curated record. NCBI's taxonomy places the organism in Eukaryota, Metazoa, Chordata, Lepidosauria, Squamata, Phrynosomatidae. The transcript is spliced from 3 exons.
UGGCAAAUGACAGAAGCAAGCACUCUGAACUUAAUAGAGCAAUACAGCUCACAUUCCUGGCUGCACAAAACAGAAGGUGGAGGGGAGAGGAAGGAGUUGUGAUACCCUCUUCACCUAGACUCAGAUGUUGAAAACCUGGGAAUGUUCUUUCCCAUGACUCUGUGGUGCAAAGGCUAUUUCCAUCAGACAUCUACACCUACUGUCAAGAAGUCUUUAUUCACAUUGAAGGAUUCACACCAGCCUGAAUCCCCAUCAUGGCCCCUCAAAGUAGUUUUAGGUACUUUUGGGAAGAAUUAAAUAAACCUCAAGGAUGAAAAGAAUGGAGGAAUCCAGCAAUCUGAACUGAGACACAGCACCCUAAAGCUUGCCUGUUCCAGUCCAUGCUGCUCUUGAAUAAUGCUGAGGCAGCUUGUCUAUUACUGAACGGUUAUAUAGAAAGUGUUUGUCUUUUUGUAAUUUAAUCCUAUUGCUUCUGUCCUUUCCCAUGCUGGACAUAGAUAACAACUGCUUUGUUCUUCUCCUUUAACCACCUUUCACCAGACUAAAAUACAUGACUUUCAGUCCAAAUCAUUUAUCAUCCUGUUAUAUGUCCUCCAAAUUCUUUCAAACUUGUCAACACUAAUUUUCUACUGUCUUGCUCACAUGUGUACACAGCAUUCCUUGUGGGAAGAGGGAGCUUCAAAAUAUAAAACCAUCUCAUCAUAAAAGAAACAAGGAAGAUGUUUGUGUUACUUUCUCUUAUUGCCAUGUGUGAUAUCAUGCCAGAUGAAGCAGAAUGCCCACAAAGGCAAUUAUUUGUAUUUCCAAAACACAAUUUCCAUUGUGUUGAACAAUGAGAGGGGGAAGAGCAACUUCUCUACGAAAAUAAAAUUCUAAGCCACCAGAUAACCCAAACAGAUUCUAAAUAUGGAACUUUAUCGCACCACGGGCUGCUGGCAUGGGAUGAGAACGGAAUGGAAAGGGCCAGGAAUGAGUGGGGGAU